RNAcentral lists this long non-coding RNA (573 nucleotides) under Anas platyrhynchos platyrhynchos (common mallard). RNAcentral's name for it is "lncRNA (ENSAPLG00000026887.1)". The record is from RNAcentral. Lineage: Eukaryota; Metazoa; Chordata; Aves; Anseriformes; Anatidae.
AUGUUGGCAGAGAUUCUGAAGACAAGUAUGUUGUGCUUUAACUGUUCCCAGGAGACCUCAGCUGAUGUUCUUAGUGGCUUAUAUGGUAUCAUGGUGGAGAAAGGAACAUGUAAGAAAAUGGGAUUCCUACAAUCUUCUUACAUUCCUCUGAUGCCUGCCUGAGUGGGAGAAGACAGACUGAGUCAUCCUAUGCAAGAGUGAGUUGUGCCCCUGGCAGGAACAGUGCCUUUCUCAGAGUUUCAGAUUAUUUUAUGCUUCAGUUUCCUUCUUUCUAAUGAGUAUAAUUAUUUGUCAGUACUAAUGAUUGUGAUUCUCCAGAUGGAAGCCAUUGCAGAAGUAGUACACCAAUACUGUUCUCACAUUUUGACAGAAUUCUGCCCCAGAAGCAGCAAGUGAAGAUGGCAUCUGAACUCAAAUACUUAAGGUAGGCAAAAAUAUCUUCCUUUAGAAGCUUUCCAAAGAACUUAUCAAAAAACUGUCUCCUCUGGCAAGGUAGGGAAUUUAAGUUAUUUCAGCAGCACUGUUUCCCAAGAACUUCAACUACAAUGAUAAAUUAAUAAUGGCAAGGACUGC